AGCUUCAUGCGCGUAUUUGUUUAAGAGGGAGGAAGAAGAACGAAAUACAAAUUUGAAGCUUUCUGAUUCAAUCUCUUGGAUUCAAUUCGUGCAUUCGUUUUCGUCCUCUCUUUCCCUUUAUCAUAUUUCCUUUUUCAGAGGGAGGCGCGUAUUCGUUUUAGGGAGGAAGUUAAGCUUAUUCGUUUCAGAAGGAGGAGGAAGAAGGAAAUCCAAUUUUGAAGCUCUCUGAUUCAAUCUCUUAGAUUUAAUUCGUGCGUUCGCUUUCGUUUUCUUUAUUGCAUAUUCGACUGUGAGUUAUUGUACUUGAGUGUUCUUUUUUUUUUUUCGAUUUUGUUUUUUUCCGUUUUCUUUUUCAAUUUCUCAGCUCCUUUACUGUGUUCUUUAUUAUUAUUAUUUUUUUUUAUCAAGAAUCUAAUGCUUUUUUCAGCUUAUUAUGAACAGAGUGGAUGGUGAAGGGAGUUUGUUGUGCUUUCGUUCAGUUAUGCUUUCUUCCAUUGUUCAAUUUUUUUGCCAUAUUUUGAGUUUUGAUCGCUUAAUUAAGUUAGGGUUUGCAUUCUUCUCUCUUUUAUUUAAUUAUUUUGAGGUUUUCCUUCUUCUCGUUGAUAUUUCAUUUUGCAUUGUAUAAUAUUUCUAGAAACAUAUCUAUUUUGAUCGUUUGAUUUUUUCUACAACUGAAACACUAUGAAGCUAAGGUAAGCUACCGUCAUCAAUUAGAAGAUAGCAAUUAGCUAUCAGUGAUCGUGACUAUCACUAAUAGAAUAUAUGUGACUGCUAUCUUGUUUUAUGUGUUUAUUGGUUCUUAUUGAUAUCAAAGACAUAUCUAGUUAUAGACUGGUGUCAGUGGUAGUGAUAGAUUUAUAUUUGUUUUUGAUAGAUAUUGGAACUUAUUGAUAUUGUUAUUUAAGAGUUUUUGUUUUACUUUCGCAAGAAUUUUAAAGCACGGUUAUUCCAAUAGUUGUUUUUCAUAGUGGAAUAUGGAAUGAAAAACACUGUUUGUAAAUUACAAAUGUACUAGAGUUUUAGUAGACGAUAUAAUGGUUUUUGAAGAUUUUGUGGGUUUAAUAGUGAAGGAGAUUUGUUUGGAUGUGUCUACUUCUUCUAUAGAACUUCCAGCUUUAUUAGAUUUUGUAAUGAAUGAGGUUCAAAAUGUAGUUGAAAUUCGUGAAGGCAAGGAUAUAGCUUGGUUUUUGGCUUUAGUUAAGGAAUAAAAUACACGACAUCCUUUGGUUGCUCAUAUCAGUAGUUCAUGUUUGGAAGUGUCUUUUAAUGUUGUUUCUAGUGGAGCUAAGAAUUAUUUGUCUGUUGUUCCUUCUUCUAAGCCUAUGAUUGAUGAUGGCAAUAUCCAAGUGAUUAUGGAUAUACAUAUUGCUCGUGAUUUGAAAGAAAAAGAUGUGUUUGCUAGUAAAGAGAUUUUAUCAAAUUGUUUUUACUUGAUAGCAGUCGAGAAGAAUUUUGAAUUUAAGACUGUAACGUCAAAUUCAAGAGCAAUUAUGGUUCGAUGUGUUUAAGAUGGUUGUCAAUGGUAUGUGAGGGCUUCCCAUUACAAGCGCAGUAUUUUGUGGAUGUUUAGGAAGUUUAUUGAUAUACAUGAUUGUCCUAUAAAAAGUAUUCAAACUUCUCAUAGGCAAGCUUCUUUGUCAUUAAUAGCUAAAUGUUUGAGAAAUAAUUUUAGAUUUAGUUCUUCUCAUAACUCAACUUCUAGUGAUAUUGUAAUUGAAGUCCAUAAGAAAUUUUGAUUAACUAUUAGCUAUUAUAAAGCAUGGAGGGCAAAAGAGCAAAUAAUGAAGUCUUUGAAAGGUGAUGCACGUGAAUCAUAUGCUUUGAUUCCAAAGUUUUUGUUGAAGUUAGAAGAAAAGAAUCCAGGUUUAUUGUCUUGUUCCGACUCAUUACAUAAUCUAUCAAUGAUAGCUUCUAUCACUUAUUGAAGUCUACCACUGAUAGCUUCCAUCACUGAUAACAUGAAAAUAAUGGAAGCUAUUAGUGAUAGACUCCAACCAAUGAUAGAAGCUAUCAUUGAUAGGCAUCAAUCAAUUAUAUACCUUUUCUUAUAGUAGGGACAUAAACUGCCUAUGAAGUUGACAUAAAUGGCCAAAGUAUUGUUAUCUGGCUAUUGGAGCAUUAAUUGAGGGUUGGAAGCAUUGUAGGCCUAAUAUAUCGGUUGGUGGCACGUUCUUGAAAUGUAAAUAUGCUGGGAUUCUUUUGACGGCUUCAACAAUUGAUGGUAAAAAUUGAAUUUUCCCUCUUGCUUUUAGUAUUGUUGACUCUGAAAAUGAUGCAUCCUAGAGAUGGUUUUUGGAGAAUCUAAAGAAAAAUUUUGGUGAACGAGAAGGAUUAGUCAUUAUUUCUAAUCGACAUUUUAGCAUUCCAAAAGGUGUUAUGAAUGUUUUUCCAAAUGUUGAGUAUUGUGUUUGUCUACAACACCUUUUGCAAAAUAUGAAGUUGACUUAUAAGGAUUCUUUAAUUGAUGACAUAUAUUAUAGUUGUGCAAAAGCUUAUACAGUUGAUAAUUUAAGUUUUAUAUGAAAUGGAUGGAAUCAAUAUAUCCUACUAUUCAGGAAUAUCUCAGUAAAGUUGGUUUUGAGAAGUGGGCACAUGCGCAUUCUAGGAGAAGAAGGUAUGAUGACUACUAAUAUUUUAGAGUGCUUGAAUAAUAUUUUGAAAGAGCCUUAAGAGUUUCCUAUUGCAUCAUUACUUGAUUAUAUUAGAAUAAUACUUCAAAAUUGAUUUUAUGAAAAAGGUCAAUUAGCAUUAUCCAUGAAGACCGUUUUGAUUAGUUAGGCAGAGUCUGAGUUGCGAGAGCAACAUAGUCAAUCAAGAAGCUUCAAGUUAAACGUUCGGCUGGACGAUGAUGUAAACAAAGAAUAUUAUCAAUUGGUGAAAAGAAAAGGAGCUCGAAGUGCAAUUGAUCUCAUCGUCGUGGCCAUAAUUGUAGAACAUGCAAAUUGCCACCAGUUGUUUAAUGAAAAAGCUUGUUUUGUAAUUGAUGUUUGUCAUCAAUUUAUCAAUGAUAGUGAGACACUUGAUGUUUUUCACCAAUUUACCAUUA
Non-coding RNA from Benincasa hispida (wax gourd), 3046 nucleotides. The record is from RefSeq and is a predicted model, not a curated record. NCBI's taxonomy places the organism in Eukaryota, Viridiplantae, Streptophyta, Magnoliopsida, Cucurbitales, Cucurbitaceae.